AACGAACGCUGGCGGCAUGCCUAACACAUGCAAGUCGAACGAUGCCUUCGGGCAUAUUGGCGCACGGGUUCGUAACGCGUGGGAAUCUGCCUUUCUGUUCGGAAUAACUCAGGGAAACUUGAGCUAAUACCGGUUAACGUCUCAAGACCAAAGAUUUAUCACCGAAAGAUGAGCCCGCGUAGGAUUAGCUAGUUGGUUAGGUAAAGGCUCACCAAGGCUACGAUCCUUAGCUGGUCUGAGAGGAUGAUCAGCCACACUGGGACUGAGACACGGCCCAGACUACUACGGGAGGCAGCAGUGGGGAAUAUUGGAAAAUGGGCGAAAGCAUGAUCAAGCAAUGCCGCGUGAGUGAUGAAGGCCUUAGGGUUGUAAAGCUCAUUUACCCGGGAAGAUAAUGACGGUACCGGGAGAAUAAGCACCGGCUAACUCCGUG
This 433-nucleotide ribosomal RNA is filed under the name uncultured bacterium. RNAcentral's name for it is "partial 16S ribosomal RNA". It matches the Rfam family "Bacterial small subunit ribosomal RNA", at positions 29 to 507 of the family's 1533-position model. The record is from RNAcentral.